UUGUGCUAUUCCCUGUCCUCACUGGA
Molecule: non-coding RNA, 26 nt
Filed under: Rattus norvegicus (Norway rat)
Lineage: Eukaryota; Metazoa; Chordata; Mammalia; Rodentia; Muridae
Source: RNAcentral